This 964-nucleotide long non-coding RNA is filed under the name Rattus norvegicus (Norway rat). Its description in RNAcentral is "long non-coding RNA NONRATT023802". Lineage: Eukaryota; Metazoa; Chordata; Mammalia; Rodentia; Muridae. The record is from RNAcentral.
UGAAGGGCGGGAGAGAGGGCCCUUUGAUUCUGGGAAGGGCCAUUUCAGGACGUGCUGGCCGCCCUCUGCAGCGGCCGAAGCCUUCCUCUGGCGGGCUGAGCUCCAGAUGCUGACGGGUGAAGGCAGGAGUAGGUGCCUGGCAAAGGAAGCUUUAGUGGAUGGUUAGUGGUGUGUGAGAACCUCUGCCUCUGGUCAUCUCUAGACGCAGGAAAGGGGAGAGACAGCCCUGGGUGUCUACCCAAAACAUCCUGGCAAGAUGAUGCCUAGGAAUAGGUAGGGGACCUGGUGUCGUGGAUUUUGACUGGCUUGCAUAGCAUCUGCCUGUUAGUCCCUCUCUACAGCUUUCUAUCUCUAGCGGAAGCCAUAAGAAUUUGUUUCAACUUUUCAGCUCAUGUCUAUAAAUAAAUACUAAGCUAUCUCAAAUCUAAGGUGAUUGAUAAAUACUUUACAUAGGUUGAAAAGCAGCUCUUGUGUCUACAGAUACCUGCACGCCUGGUGGCUUUUCUUCCUACUCUGUACAUAGUAAACUGCCUUGGACAGGGCAGUACACGAGCGUCUAGGCAAGUUUCCUUUUCUGUCUUGUGUUUUCUUUGAGACAGGAUCUCGCCAUAACCCAGGAUGGCCUCAAGCUCAUGGCGGUUUCUCUGCCUCGGCCUUUAGGAUGCUAGGAUCGCAGGUGCACAUAGCAAUGCCCAGUUCACUCAGCGCAUUCCAGUGGCUACCUGUGGUGGGCAUAAACAAUGUGGCCGACUGGCUGGUGUAUCACUAGCAGCCCAUAGGGCCGAGGGGUGCGGCUUGGUGGAACUCCUGGGGAGCAUGUGAGGUCCUAGGUUUGAUCCUUACCACCGGAAAAAGUAAAAGUCAGUCUUGGGAUUUAAUAAAGUCCGAGGCUGACUAGAACCCUGUAAUUUCCCUCUCUCAGUAGUUAACAUAACAGCAUUUGGUGUUUCCUACAUCCCCUCUG